This 1960-nucleotide long non-coding RNA is filed under the name Daphnia pulicaria. Its description in RNAcentral is "uncharacterized LOC124327360". The record is from RNAcentral. Lineage: Eukaryota; Metazoa; Arthropoda; Branchiopoda; Diplostraca; Daphniidae.
CAACAAAACUGGUGUCAAUUAGGCCACAGCAUAGAGUUAUAUUAAAAGUUUUAGAUAUUGAUUAGUUUGUUGAUAGUGGCAUUUUCCAGUAACUCGCCCCACGCAAACUUUUCUUUUGGGUGUCAAUUUUGUUUUGUUUGUCUUUUAUCAGGCCAAAAUUACCCCAUGUCCACAUCACCACCAUCACUUUGCCUUAAUACAACAAAAUUGUGAAGAAUGAAGAGAGCUUGAUGAGGCAAACUAAAACAAACAGUGUCAGCCACUCCUACCAAUGCAAACUUCCAGAUGUUUUGCCCGAAAUAGCAAGAAUUCUAAUCUCCAAGGUUAUGCUCCAACCUACAUAACAAUCAAUGUAAAAAAAUAGGAAAACAAAUAAUAAAAAAAAAAAAAGAAAAAGAAAAAGGGGAUCGGACAGUGGGAUCGGCAACCGAAGCCGGCAAGGCGGGCGAUGGAAGAUAAAAACAGUCAGAGAAGUCGCCCGUCACAGAGGAGUGAAGGAAGCUCGGAACUUAAAGGCGCAUUUUGUACGACAAAGCAUUACCAAGAGAGGAACGAAAAAGCUGCUGCUAGUACGGGUACGGCCACCUCAUCUUUUUCGACAUAAGGGCACACUUAAUUAGGGACUUGGGGAUCCGGACUGUGUAGAAAUAUGGUUAAUCGGUCCAUCCAUCAAAUCGGUCUACUUGGGAUGGGGAUUGAAACACUUGUUGUUUUUUUCUGAACAUGUUUUCUACAAAAAUGCAUUGACAGACAAAGAAAGCUAUGGGAACAUAAUCAAGGCCAUGGAUAAUCUUCAGGUUUAUUGCGGCAACUUUGGGGAAGUCGCAUGAAAAGAUGCAGGGCACAUACCAACAUAUUUAACAUGACUAACUGUUUGAUGUCAAAGUUAGUUGGAACUCAACUCACUGUAUGACAUGACCAUGGUAUAAUAGGUUGGUUCAACCUAUUAUACCAUGGUAUGACUAACGCAGAUAACUGUUGGUGCUGUUGCAUUACAGUUUACAGCCACAGGCAGGAAAAUUAUUUUUUUCUUCAGAAAAUUGCAAGUUUAAUUGUUUGUCUUGACACCCAACACUUUCUGGAAAGCUGCUGGAGUAAUCUGGUGUUGAUGCUCAUUUGAUUCAUUUCAUGCCAGCUAGUGAAAGCCGAAAGGCAUGUCGAAUUCAAGUUGAGCUGCUGUGUGCUGUCUGGAAUCAAGCAAUCCAUCCGUUGCGUUCAGUCAUUUGAACAGGAAUCUAAUGGCUGUCAAUAGGUGGCUGAAAUGAUGUCCACCAGGUAGCGCGAGUGUCUUUAGCACUGACGCAUAGCGGCCAUUAUGUUCCUAGACGAAGCAGAGAUGGGUUGCUGGUCCUGACGUUUCUCACGAUGAAAAUUAAAAGAAACCAAUUUGCAAAUUCAUUCAACUCAGACUUGGAAGUGCCUGUACAUUGCCGAAAUGGCGUGCCUCGUGUGUCUUGCUGCCUGUUCUUAGGCGUACGUCUCAUCCCAUGCAACAGCAAAAAGUAUAACAAACACUUCUUUAACACUGUUGGUUACCUUGUUGCAGCCAAAUGGUGAAAGGUGUGACAAAGACAGAUUGAACCGUUGUAUGCAGCAUGAGGUUGCAGUGUGAUCCAGAAGUAGCCGUGUUGGACCUGAAAUUGCUGUGCUGUUGUACCCGAGCUGUUCCAUCUGGGUUCCUGACUUGAAAAUUUUUGUGUUGUUGUUUGCCUGCCAGUAUUUUGUAUUGUGAUUUCAAAUAGUUUGAUCUGUCGUCUUUUGAGUUUUCAUUCAAUCAUGCAGUAUACGACUGAGGCAACCUGAUCAAUGUCAGGUUUGACACAGUCGAGAACUGCUAGAUCAAACAAGCUUUCUGUGCCAAACAAAUAAUAACUCGCAUAUAAUUUGCAUCAUGUUAUUAGCGCGGUAGAGAAAGCGACAGGCCCCCCCCCCCCCUGGGGGCCACAGGAAAAAUAUGUAU